Molecule: long non-coding RNA, 839 nt
Organism: Penaeus chinensis
Lineage: Eukaryota; Metazoa; Arthropoda; Malacostraca; Decapoda; Penaeidae
Exons: 8
Source: RefSeq, a predicted model, not a curated record
CUCCCUCGGCCACUCUCGUCGGGACGCCACUCCUGCAAGGUUGGAAAUCCUGAUGUCAUGUGGAUAGCUGGCUCACGCCGGCAACUCCACAAGCGACUUUGGAGGCUGCGUGCAUGCAGUCGCACCCUGUCGUGCAUCGGAGAGCAACCGGGUCCCCUGGCCUUGGCUAGGUGUGGAUCGGGGGCUUGUAUAUUCCAACACGCCCUUGAGCUUUAUGGCUUUGAAAGGAAGUGAAACCAUACAAGCUACAAUAGAUUCUUUCAUAUUCUCCACUUCACAAUGGAAUUGGUCUGGAAGCGCAGUAGUGUGGCCAACCCAAGUUUCACAAGCAUUGAUCGUGAAGUCGUAAUGGAUGUGAGGUAGUUCGGGCUUCCUGUUGUGCACAAGAUUGAUGGUAUUGUACAAGAUGAAAUGAACAACAGAGCUGUAGCUUGGUCUUCUUGUGAAGCAGAGAUGGAGGUAAAUGGAUCUGUCGAGUGGCAGCGGUUCUUUUAACCUAUUGCUGCUGGGCCAUACCUACAGCCAUCAUAACAAACCGACUUAUGACGUGCUAGAGCGAGUCGCGAGGAAAGUUUUACUACACGUAGUAAACUCCCAGGUCUAACGGCAGGAUGUUUACCAGAAGUUGCCAGAGAUUUCUGAUACUGUCAUUGAGGGGUUAAUACAGCCUGUGGACUAGCAAACUUCAAACGCUCUUAGGUGUGGGUACUGAAGAGCUCUUAGUUCUGGUUGAAAGCCACUGCAAGAGUUAUGGCUUUAUUGUUAACCUGGAGUAUGCAGCUGUCCUGGAACAAGUCUUGAAGGAGGAUGAUAAUGGAAUAAAUAAAUAAAUAAUACAU